RNAcentral lists this ribosomal RNA (850 nucleotides) under Staphylococcus aureus. RNAcentral describes it as "bacterial SSU rRNA". It matches the Rfam family "Bacterial small subunit ribosomal RNA", at positions 63 to 894 of the family's 1533-position model. Lineage: Bacteria; Bacillati; Bacillota; Bacilli; Caryophanales; Staphylococcaceae. The record is from RNAcentral.
CGAGCGAACGGACGAGAAGCUUGCUUCUCUGAUGUUAGCGGCGGACGGGUGAGUAACACGUGGAUAACCUACCUAUAAGACUGGGAUAACUUCGGGAAACCGGAGCUAAUACCGGAUAAUAUUUUGAACCGCAUGGUUCAAAAGUGAAAGACGGUCUUGCUGUCACUUAUAGAUGGAUCCGCGCUGCAUUAGCUAGUUGGUAAGGUAACGGCUUACCAAGGCAACGAUGCAUAGCCGACCUGAGAGGGUGAUCGGCCACACUGGAACUGAGACACGGUCCAGACUCCUACGGGAGGCAGCAGUAGGGAAUCUUCCGCAAUGGGCGAAAGCCUGACGGAGCAACGCCGCGUGAGUGAUGAAGGUCUUCGGAUCGUAAAACUCUGUUAUUAGGGAAGAACAUAUGUGUAAGUAACUGUGCACAUCUUGACGGUACCUAAUCAGAAAGCCACGGCUAACUACGUGCCAGCAGCCGCGGUAAUACGUAGGUGGCAAGCGUUAUCCGGAAUUAUUGGGCGUAAAGCGCGCGUAGGCGGUUUUUUAAGUCUGAUGUGAAAGCCCACGGCUCAACCGUGGAGGGUCAUUGGAAACUGGAAAACUUGAGUGCAGAAGAGGAAAGUGGAAUUCCAUGUGUAGCGGUGAAAUGCGCAGAGAUAUGGAGGAACACCAGUGGCGAAGGCGACUUUCUGGUCUGUAACUGACGCUGAUGUGCGAAAGCGUGGGGAUCAAACAGGAUUAGAUACCCUGGUAGUCCACGCCGUAAACGAUGAGUGCUAAGUGUUAGGGGGUUUCCGCCCCUUAGUGCUGCAGCUAACGCAUUAAGCACUCCGCCUGGGGAGUACGACCGCAAGGU